CAUAGUUUACAUGCUCUGUGUUUUGGAAUUUGGAUUUACUUAUCUGUUUAUCAUUAUCAAUAUGCCUUUAGUAUGCUGCUAAAGUCUAAAAAUAGUUGAUCAUGUCGCAAGUAACUGUGAUAUCACAUGCUUCAUUUCUGUGCCUACCAUGGUGACCACGGGUAACGGGGAAUCAGGGUUCAAUUCCAGAGAGGGAGCCUGAGAAACGUCUACGACAUGCAAGGGAGGCAGCAUGCGCUCAAAUGACCCACUCCCGACGUGGAUAGGUAGUGACG
Molecule: non-coding RNA, 275 nt
Organism: Pelobates cultripes (western spadefoot toad)
Lineage: Eukaryota; Metazoa; Chordata; Amphibia; Anura; Pelobatidae
Source: the annotation of a GenBank genome assembly